Molecule: ribosomal RNA, 567 nt
Filed under: uncultured bacterium
Lineage: Bacteria
Description: bacterial SSU rRNA
Rfam family: Bacterial small subunit ribosomal RNA
Source: RNAcentral
GAGUUUGUCCUGGCUCAGAUUGAACGCUGGCGGCAGGCCUAACGCAUGCAAGUCGAACGGUAACAGGAUGUGCUUGCACAUCGCUGACGAGUGGCGGACGGGUGAGUAAUGCUUAGGGAUCUGCCUCUGUGUGGGGGAUAACUAUUGGAAACGAUAGCUAAUACCGCAUAAUGUUUACGGACCAAAGGGGGCGUUUGCUCCCGCGCAGAGAGGAACCUAAGUGAGAUUAGCUAGUUGGUAAGGUAAUGGCUUACCAAGGCGACGAUCUCUAGCUGUUCUGAGAGGAAGAUCAGCCACACUGGGACUGUGACACGGCCCAGACUCCUACGGGAGGCAGCAGUGGGGAAUAUUGCACAAUGGGGGGAACCCUGAUGCAGCCAUGCCGCGUGUGUGAAGAAGGCCUUCGGGUUGUAAAGCACUUUCAGUUGUGAGGAAAGGUUAGUAGUUAAUACCUGCUAGCUGUGACGUAAGCAACAGAAGAAGCACCGGCUAACUCCGUGCCAGCAGCCGCGGUAAUACGGAGGGUGCGAGCGUUAAUCGGAAUUACUGGGCGUAAAGCGCACGCAG